This 253-nucleotide unclassified non-coding RNA is filed under the name uncultured Legionellaceae bacterium. RNAcentral describes it as "contains 16S-23S intergenic spacer region". It matches the Rfam family "Bacterial small subunit ribosomal RNA", at positions 524 to 776 of the family's 1533-position model. Lineage: Bacteria; Pseudomonadati; Pseudomonadota; Gammaproteobacteria; Legionellales; Legionellaceae. The record is from RNAcentral.
UACGGAGGGUGCGAGCGUUAAUCGGAAUUACUGGGCGUAAAGGGUGCGUAGGCGGUUUAUUAAGUUGCUUGUGAAAUUCCUGGGCUUAACCUAGGGCGGACGGGUGAUACUGGUAGACUGGAGUAUAGGAGAGGGCAGUGGAAUUUCUGGUGUAGCGGUGAAAUGCGUAGAUAUCAGAAGGAACACCGGUGGCGAAGGCGGCUGCCUGGCCUAAUACUGACGCUGAGGCACGAAAGCGUGGGUAGCGAACAGG